AAGGGCACUUCUUCCGCAGGCGGCCCCAGUUCAGCAGGUUCCCAGUCUGCAGGUGCAGGGUGCGGGCCCGCGCCAGGAGCGCCCCGGCCGCGCGGCUGUCGGUGCCCAUGGAAGCGGCUGUCCGAGGAGCCAAGAGAGAAAGUAUCCUGAAUGGGUCAGUGAGGAGCCCAUCCCAAGCUUGCAGGAAGGAUUCCUGGUCCUCCUAUCAUCUGUAUAUCUAACAAGGUGUUUCCUAUGCAAGGUUCCAGCUUGCUCUUUUGAGGAAAUUUAACUUACUAGACAGCUUAAUGAAAAGAAAGACCAUAGACAGUGGAUUCUACUUUUCUGAACUCCUAGGAGACAUGCUUGGCCACAAAAUCCAAGAUAUCUCCCUAAAAGUUAUCUUCAAAUUAUAUACAACCACCACCCACCACAACCAAGAGUGAGCCCCCAGCAACCCCAGUGGAACAUUUUCCAGGGAAGGAAACUAACUCAUCUUCAUCUAUUUCAAGGUAUUGAGACUGCAAUAUGGUUUGUCUGGAAUGUCCUCCCAAAGCUCAUGCAUUGAAGGUUUGGCCCCCAGUGAAGCAGUAUUCAGAGCUAUAGGAGGAUCAACUCAGUGUCAUUAUCAUUCAAGACCAAAGAGACCACCAAGCUGUGCUGGAAACCAAGAACAGCUCUGCGACUGAACAGCAUGCCUGAAAUGUUCUCUGGCCAGGUGCUGUCUCUGCAGAACUCUGUGAACGGAAUGUCCUCUGAAACUCACCAUGACACAAGAUCAUGGCUGUGUUCCCUUGUAAAAGCUAACAGUAUACGAAAUCAAUAGGAAUACUCUAGUCUGGGCAAAGCUUGCCUCAUGGAAGACCCACAUUCAAGCCUUGAUAAAUAUGGACACCUCAUGGAAGACCCACAUUCAAGCCUUGAUAAAUAUGGACACCUGUUCAGAAAGCUGAGCAUGUGGCAUGGUGAGCUGUGGGGAUGACCCCAAGGAGAGCACAUAUUUUGGGGAUCCUCAUACUAUACCAUCUCAGUAACUUAUAAACCAAGUGAACCAACUACUAAAUAAUGAACUUCUUUAUGACCUGGGAUCAAAUGUCAACUUCUUGGUUUCCUUGGAGUUCCAC
Ictidomys tridecemlineatus (thirteen-lined ground squirrel) is the source of this 1103-nucleotide non-coding RNA. The record is from RefSeq and is a predicted model, not a curated record. Lineage: Eukaryota; Metazoa; Chordata; Mammalia; Rodentia; Sciuridae.